This 72-nucleotide small RNA is filed under the name Pseudomonas lini. RNAcentral describes it as "Pseudomonas sRNA P10". It matches the Rfam family "Pseudomonas sRNA P10". Lineage: Bacteria; Pseudomonadati; Pseudomonadota; Gammaproteobacteria; Pseudomonadales; Pseudomonadaceae. The record is from RNAcentral.
CGUCACCGACCCGACGGCAUGCCCAUUGCCGGGCCAUGGCACCAACCCGAUCGUGUCCGGCUCCCCGGACGU